This 497-nucleotide ribosomal RNA is filed under the name uncultured bacterium. RNAcentral describes it as "partial 16S ribosomal RNA". It matches the Rfam family "Bacterial small subunit ribosomal RNA", at positions 28 to 507 of the family's 1533-position model. The record is from RNAcentral.
GAUGAACGCUGGCGGCGUGCCUAAUACAUGCAAGUCGAGCGAACAGACGAGGAGCUUGCUCCUCUGACGUUAGCUGCGGACGGGUGAGUAACACGUGGAUAACCUACCUAUAAGACUGGGAUAACUUCGGGAAACCGGAGCUAAUACCGGAUAACAUGUUGAACCGCAUGGUUCAACAGUGAAAGACGGUCUUGCUGUCACUUAUAGAUGGAUCCGCGCCGCAUUAGCUAGUUGGUAAGGUAACGGCUUACCAAGGCAACGAUGCGUAGCCGACCUGAGAGGGUGAUCGGCCACACUGGAACUGAGACACGGUCCAGACUCCUACGGGAGGCAGCAGUAGGGAAUCUUCCGCAAUGGGCGAAAGCCUGACGGAGCAACGCCGCGUGAGUGAAGAAGGUCUUCGGAUCGUAAAACUCUGUUAUUAGGGAAGAACAAAUGUGUAAGUAACUAUGCACGUCUUGACGGUACCUAAUCAGAAAGCCACGGCUAACUACGUG